CCUGACAGCAGCUCCUCCCACUGCUGCACCCCAGGGCUAGGAUCCGGAACCCCCUGUCCAGCAGGACUUUCUCCAAGGAGAGAAGCAGUCUCCAGGUCUCACACCCAGGACCUGACAGCUGCAAAGUGCUCUGGUGGAGACCUCAGGCUCUGCAUGUCACCCAUUGCUCCAGAGAGGCCUGCAGACAGAAGCCUUUGACAAGCUUCGAUCUGGAAUAGGAUUCUCCAGCCUACACAUGAGCAUCUCCUGGAGGAAGUCUGCAGAGAAUUUUUGAGUUACAUUUGGAGAGAUUCGGAUAUGGAG
RNAcentral lists this long non-coding RNA (303 nucleotides) under Cavia porcellus (domestic guinea pig). Its description in RNAcentral is "lncRNA (ENSCPOG00000033656.1)". Lineage: Eukaryota; Metazoa; Chordata; Mammalia; Rodentia; Caviidae. The record is from RNAcentral.